AGCAGCCGCGGUAAUUCCAGCUCCAAUAGCGUAUAUUAAAGUUGUUGCAGUUAAAAAGCUCGUAGUUGAAUUUCGGGAUUGGCGCAUCGGUCGUGCCUCACGGGGUAUGAACUGGUGCAGUCAAUUUCUCACCUUCUGGAGAACCGCGAUGUCCUUAAUUGGAUGCCGCGGGGAACCAGGACCCUUUACUUUGAAAAAAAUUAGAGUGUUUAAAGCAGGCAUUUUUGCUUGAAUACAUUAGCAUGGAAUAAUAAAAUAGGACGGCAUGGUUCUAUUUUGUUGGUUUCUAGGGCCACCGUAAUGAUUAAUAGGGAUAGUUGGGGGCAUUAGUAUUCAAUUGUCAGAGGUGAAAUUCUUGGAUUUAUUGAAGACUAACUACUGCGAAAGCAAUUUGCCAAGGAUUGUUUUCAUUAAUCAAGAACGAAAGUUAGGGAUCGAAGACGAUCAGAUACCGUCGUAGUCUUAACCAUAAACUAUGCCGACUAGGAAUCAGACGAUGUUUAAUUUUUAAUGUACUUCG
Molecule: ribosomal RNA, 520 nt
Filed under: uncultured Entrophospora
Lineage: Eukaryota; Fungi; Glomeromycota; Glomeromycetes; Entrophosporales; Entrophosporaceae
Description: SSU rRNA
Rfam family: Eukaryotic small subunit ribosomal RNA
Source: RNAcentral